Octopus bimaculoides (California two-spot octopus) is the source of this 72-nucleotide non-coding RNA. NCBI's taxonomy places the organism in Eukaryota, Metazoa, Mollusca, Cephalopoda, Octopoda, Octopodidae. The record is from Rfam.
CCCUCGGUAGAACAGUGGUAAGUAUCCCCGCCUGUCACGCGGAAGACCGGGGUCCGAUUCUCCGCCGGGGAG